UUGGGUUAUCGUCUGCAUUCCUGACGUAGUGUUUACAGCUUCCUGCUUAUGGCAACAAGGAAGCAGAACGCAGAGUGAUGAGAGAUUUAUGUGGAUAUGAUAGCACUGGACACUUCGAGGCUCCAUUGGCAAAACAUGCGGCAAAUAGGAAACCAAGGGUAGACCUUUGACAUUUAAGAAGUAUAUGCCCUAAGAUUUCUACAGAUCCUGAAAUUCAUCACUACGGCAGAAUCACGCAUCUUAUGUGUCUCCUUGGAAGAAAAUCACUAUGUGAAGCUAACACUUUAAUGAAUGAGGAGUUAUGUUCUGCUUCCUUGAAUAGCUACAUAAAUUAUUUGGAAUUAUUCUCCAAGGGAAACACGUCUGUUCUCUCCGAAAUUAUUCAGUCAUCUAUUUGUAUCAGUAUGGACUCAUGGAUAUAUAUUUUUGUUAUAUUCUGACACUACUUCAUUUUGUUACUCAAAUAGUUCCAGCUUUGGCUAUUGGGAACCCCUUCAGAAUUUCGUUUGUUUGGUUAGUUGGUAGUUGGCUCUGUAUUAUUGUUGUUGUUAUUUUGUU
RNAcentral lists this long non-coding RNA (558 nucleotides) under Homo sapiens (human). RNAcentral describes it as "HSALNT0333195". The record is from RNAcentral. Lineage: Eukaryota; Metazoa; Chordata; Mammalia; Primates; Hominidae.